Molecule: ribosomal RNA, 231 nt
Filed under: Salmonella enterica subsp. enterica serovar Typhimurium
Lineage: Bacteria; Pseudomonadati; Pseudomonadota; Gammaproteobacteria; Enterobacterales; Enterobacteriaceae
Description: partial 23S ribosomal RNA
Rfam family: Bacterial large subunit ribosomal RNA
Source: RNAcentral
CUAAGCGUACACGAUGGAUGCACUGGCAGUCAGAGGCGAUGAAGGGCGUGUUAAUCUGCGAUAAGCGCCGGUAAGGUGAUAUGAACCGUUAUAACCGGCGAUACCCGAAUGGGGAAACCCAGUGUGACUCGUCACACUAUCAUUAACUGAAUCCAUAGGUUAAUGAGGCGAACCGGGGGAACUGAAACAUCUAAGUACCCCGAGGAAAAGAAAUCAACCGAGAUUCCCCCA